RNAcentral lists this unclassified non-coding RNA (184 nucleotides) under rhizosphere metagenome. RNAcentral's name for it is "partial ribosomal RNA internal transcribed spacer region". The record is from RNAcentral.
GAGUUCAUGCCCUUACGGGUAGAUCUCCCACCCUUGAAUAUACUACCUUUGUUGCUUUGGCGGGCCGCUUCGUCCACCGGCUUCGGCUGGUGAGUGCCCGCCAGAGGACCCUAAACUCUGAAUUAUAGUGUCGUCUGAGUACUAUACAAUAGUUAAAACUUUCAACAACGGAUCUCUUGGUUCU